UAUUAUGCCCUUAUAUAUAUAUAUAUAUACACUGUGUUAAUACAUAACACGUUCCUGUGAUUUCGUCAUUCAAUUUUGGCAGUUUUUAUCAUUCUAAUUCAAAUGGAUACAUUUCUAUCUUGCAUGCUAUCAUUCUAUCGUUCUGAGACUUUGAUGUGCUAGGGUUUCAUUGUUGCUCUGGUUCGGUGAUUUUCAAGUGAAGACGACGAAUUUCAUAUUGUUCGAUUUUCACAUUUUCUGGAGUAUAACUACUUCAAAGUGGUUGUUUUCGAGUUUCUGGACAAUUGUAGGAUUGCAUGAUUAAGGAGAUGAAUACCUUUAUGAUGUUGGUGUAUACAUAUGGUUGCAGUACCACUGUAAUAAAUGCUGCCCACGCAUUGUGUUAUUCGCAUUUGGUAGACUGUUUGUGUGAAAAAUGGGGGGAGUUGUCUGCUGGUUCUAUUUCAUUGUUCUGUCGGUUGGCAAAGAUUGUGUCAGUUGGCAAAGAUUGUGUUACAAUAAGAUUACGUUGCGUUGGCAAAUAUACUAAUGCAUUAGUAUUUGAUUUGUGUUUUGUUUUUAAUUUUUUAAGGUACCAAUCUGAUGUUUAUGUUAUUGUGUUUUGGAUGAAUGCAUGGUGUUAACUUU
Non-coding RNA from Camellia sinensis, 627 nucleotides. Lineage: Eukaryota; Viridiplantae; Streptophyta; Magnoliopsida; Ericales; Theaceae. The record is from RefSeq and is a predicted model, not a curated record.